UACGGAGGGGGUUAGCGUUGUUCGGAAUUACUGGGCGUAAAGCGCACGUAGGCGGACCAGAAAGUUGGGGGUGAAAUCCCGGGGCUCAACCUCGGAAUGGCCUUCAAAACUCCUGGUCUUGAGUUCGAGAGAGGUGAGUGGAAUUCCGAGUGUAGAGGUGAAAUUCGUAGAUAUUCGGAGGAACACCAGUGGCGAAGGCGGCUCACUGGCUCGACACUGACACUGAGGUGCGAAAGCGUGGGGAGCAAACAGG
Molecule: ribosomal RNA, 253 nt
Filed under: uncultured bacterium
Lineage: Bacteria
Description: partial 16S ribosomal RNA
Rfam family: Bacterial small subunit ribosomal RNA
Source: RNAcentral